This is a long non-coding RNA of Poecile atricapillus (Black-capped chickadee), 1903 nucleotides long. RefSeq lists it as uncharacterized. The record is from RefSeq and is a predicted model, not a curated record. NCBI's taxonomy places the organism in Eukaryota, Metazoa, Chordata, Aves, Passeriformes, Paridae. The transcript has 6 exons.
CAGCUGUGGUACAGGACCCAGGGAUUUUCAGCUGAAGUCUAAAUGCAGUUGACAACUGUAUGAAUCUCAGAGCCAGGAUGCUUCAAGCACCAUAGAUCUAAAAAAGACAUUGAUUUGCUCUCCUCCAGCCUCUCUUAUCUCCUACUUAUGAAAAUAUCUGGUGAAUAGUACAUCAUCUGCUUGCUCCACAGCCUAAGUGCCUCAGAGCAGCCACUCAGGUUCAGCUAUGACAAAUACGUCGGGCGACUCCGAGGGAUAGUAACACGCAGGCGCCUUUAAGCAAAGUUCAAGCAGCUCCUAAAUUAACCGGAGCGAAUCCCCGAAGAUGCAGUAUUUAUGCACUGAAGCAGGAAGGGAGGGCUCUCAUCUCACCACUCUCAUCAGCCAUCACAGCCCAGGAAGCAAGAGAGAGAAAAUAAGAGUUAUUUACCUUUUGCUAAUUGGGAGCUGGGCAGCUCAGUGUGCUCCCUAAAAGGGAGAGCCCAUCCUGCCACAGCCAUUCCCACUGCUGGGAGACACGGAUCCACUGCCAGGAACUGACUUAAAGUGCAGGGCUGCAAACUGGUAAAUGUAUUAACUUCGGGUGCCUCUCUGACAUUUUUUUAAAAAAAUUAAAUUUUCAGCUGUGUUGUAGGUACAAAGGGAGGCACAGAGAAGAGCUGCACGUGUCAGGGGGUGAGCACAUCAAGGCAGACAAUGGUGACACCUGUCUGGUUGAGUUUAGGCUGACAAAAUUCAGCAGAGAGACCUCCGUGGAGGGAAGAGGAUGCUCGGGAGAAGCAGUGCUGCGGGGCCCUCCUCAGAAGCAGACCUCAUUUUUUUUAAUUAGGUUAUAACUUAAUUAUGGAUGCAGGGCUCUUCAUUCCUGACAAGUUUUCCAUAAUCUUAACUUGAUCUCAUGUCAGAAGGGUCCCAUACUCUGAUAACCAAACCCAGCUAAGAGUUUAACUAGAAUAAUAGCUGAUUAAAAGGGGUUAAUAGAUACACCUCAAACAGAAGUAAAUUAACGGGAGACGCUGUCUCUUGGCUAAUGGGAUCAGAACAGUAUUUGUUUAGUUUAUGAAUGAUUAAUCUCCCUCUCUCGGCAUUCCUGGGAUGCUAAUUGCACUUAGGGAGCCCGUGUUUGUUUUUACAAGAGUUGGAGGUGGCAGAAGGAAGGCGAUGGUUGGCCCAAAGGGGAGUUCAUUCACCCGGGUAAUGGGCUCUUGGCACAGCUGCGGGGAAUACGGGAAAGCCACGCUCUGGGAUUGGAGAUAUUGUUAAAGUCGAAUUAAAGGUGGUAUUGAAGUCACUUUGGUGUGUUUUAUGAGAAAACCUGUGAAGUUCACAAAGGCACCGAGUGCCGAGGCUCGUCUCCCCCUCCCGCCCGGGGAAUUUCCACCACAAAAAUGCUCGGAUUUUUCCCUGUGGAAAUUCUCCAAACGGAUCACAGCAAAGCUAAAAGAAAAGGCCAAAGGAGGGAAACCACUUCUCGUGGCAACUUUUGCAUUUGACAGUUCAAAGCAGGAGAGCAGCAGCAUUUGUCAGGAGCGCUGGGAGGGAAGCAGUAAUUGCCUGGAAGCAGCCACAGAUGCAGGGCUCACUCCAGCUGCUGCUGCAUCGCUAAGAGUCUCUGCCAAGGGAUGGAUGUUUGAAAGAUGUGAGGAACAUUGGGAAGACCAAGAGAACACUUCUGCACUAAACCUGUUUUUGAGUCUGGGAUCAAAUGAAAUUAGGUAUUUCAUUCAUCACUGGAUUGUGCAGAAAACCUGAGUUGAAUAAAACCUUCUGAAAGAAGGUGAGGAGACACACUCUGCCUUGUAGAUUAUUUUACAGCUGCUGAAGCCAUUCGUUUCCUCUGUCUGUUUUCCACAAACUUGGAAAAUUAACCAUGUACCAGGAGGUGUGGCUUCUACUUUUUGCC